This is a long non-coding RNA of Homo sapiens (human), 1840 nucleotides long. Ensembl annotates it as long intergenic non-protein coding RNA 1962. NCBI's taxonomy places the organism in Eukaryota, Metazoa, Chordata, Mammalia, Primates, Hominidae. The record is from Ensembl.
ACACUUUCCUACAUUUCCUGAAGAUUUUGCAAAUGGGUAUGCACUGUUUAUUAUCUUUUCAUAAAACGGUAAGAGCGGCUUCUGGGGGCUCCUCACCCAGCCGGUCCGGCGUUCCUUCCCUCUCAGCACUGCGCUCUCUCCCGAGCCCUCCGGCUCUACCAACCUCUGUGUCCUGCCCCUGGGCCUCAAGAUUUGCGCCUUUCUUGGACUCGCUUGGGAAGGGGCGCCCAGGCUGCAGAACGGAUGGACGCUCCUGCCUGCUACUCGAGUGGAUCGAGCAGGGAGGCGCUCAUUCGGAUUCCAGGAGACCAGAGGACACAGGACAUAGGGAGCGUUUACCCUGUGUGGAGCUACCUGCGGCUGAGAAUUAGUGGCAGACGCGGAGAUGGGCAGCGGGGACAAGUUGGGCUUGGGAGACUAUAAGACCUUGAGAAUGGGUUCAAGCUGCCAGACGGAAAUCCGCCUUUUCGGUGAAUCGAGCCAUGAAGAACACAAUCAUGAAAAGAUUCAGCGAGCAACUAGACAGCCGGCUCGUUGGUCUAGGGUUUUGAUCCCGAAAGAUGUCCAGCGGAGGCAUCACCAAGAUUUCCGGGAGUGCUGGGGAUUGGAAAGAAUCGUGGAUAGGAGACUAAGCGAGCCGUCCCGGAAGCAACAGUUGCUGUGAAGACUUUGGGCACAGACCUGCACGUGAGAGUAUGCUCUUGAGGGUUGUGGGGGCUCUCCUUUUACAGCUAGGGAUCACUUGUCGAACGUACCCGGAGAGUAGCUGCUAGCAGACAAUAUUAUGGCGACAGAGGUAGGUGUGGGUUUCCGUAGUGUAGUGGUCAUCACGUUCGCCUAACACGCGAAAGGUCCCCGGUUCGAAACCGGGCGGAAACAUGCCACAGUGUUUUUUUUUUUUUUCCCCCCCCUUUCUUUUGAGAUGGGGUUUCGCUCUUGUUGCCCAGGCUGGAGUGCAAUGGAGUGAUCUCGGCUCACAGCAACCUCCGCCUCCCAGGUUCAAGCCAUUCUCCUGCCUCAGGCUCCGGAGUAGCUGGGAUUACAGGCAUGCGCCACCACGCCCGGCUAAUUUUGUAUUUUUAGUAGAGACGGAGUUUCUCCAUGUUGGUCAGGCUGGUCUCGAACUCCGGACCUCAGGUGAUCCGCCCACCUCGGCCUCCCAAAGCGCUGGGAUUACAGGCGUGAGCCACCGCGCGCGGCCCCGAAGCGGUUAUUAUCUCAUUACACGCUCUUAUUACACUGGAGACUAACCUAGAAGAUCCCACUAGUAUGUCCACCUGGUGGUCACAGCGGCACAAAGAGAAGAGGGCAUCUACGCUUUUGCUUUCCAUUCCCAACCACCCGCACCUGUGAACUCAAUCCAGUUUUACUUGCUGUGGACAAGCUCGGCACAGAGCUCAUCCACUGGACAGCGGCACGCUGCCAAAUGGAACCCCGCAUCUCGAGUAUGUGUGGGGCCCAUUACUCCUUUUGUAACCCAUAGGGGACAAAAGUGACAAAACUACCACAAACUGGCAGCGGUGGGAUUCGAACCCACGCCCCCGAAGAGACUGGAGCCUUAAUCCAGCGCCUUAGACCGCUCGGCCACGCUACCUCUUUGCCGCUGGGUAUUUACAUAUUUUCCUUCAGUUAUGAAGCGUGCGAAGGGGCUCUGGGCCAACAGGGAGUUGGGGCGAAUCCACAGGGCAGGACCAUGGCAGGAUCCGCUCCGCCAAAGCCACUGGCUGGGAAACGGCUCCACCAGUGCCCUGACACAGGAUUCUCAAUGCCCAGGCCUCAGGAUCUGCUUUAGGAAGGCCAGUCAUAAAGCCACCCUCUUUGGGGAAUGCACUCCAGAGCA